This 745-nucleotide non-coding RNA is filed under the name Livia junci. Lineage: Eukaryota; Metazoa; Arthropoda; Insecta; Hemiptera; Liviidae. The record is from RNAcentral.
UAAUAUACUUUAUUUUGGUAUAGGAGUUUUCUUAAAUCUUUUUUUUACAUGUAAAUUUAAGUAUUAUUUUUAAUAUAGUUAAAACAGUAAAUAAAAUUAAUUAUUUAAAGAAAUUUAGAUUUAGAAAUAGAUAAGUAAAUUAACUAAUUUUGUGCCAGCAGUUGCGGUUAUACAAUAAAUUUAAAGGAAAUAUUAUGGCUUUAUUAACUUUUAAUUAAACUAUCUAUACAAUUAUUAUAUUUAGGUAAAAUUUUUAUUUUAAUUCAUAUGAUUAAACUAAAGGUUAAGAAAUUAGUAAUGAAACUAGGAUUAGAUACCCUAUUAUUUUAAUUUAAAUAUUUUGGCUGGAGUAGUACUAGUUAUGAUCUUGAAACUUAAAAAAUUUGGCGGUAUUCUAUCUUAUUAGAGGAACCUGUUUAUUAAUUGAUAAUCCACAACUUAAAAUACUUUUAUUAAUAUACUUGUAUACCGCUGUCAUGAGUAUAUUUAUAAAUUUAAUUUUCCUUUAAUUUUUAUGAAAUUUAUGUUAGGUCAAGGUGCAGUUUUUAAAAGAAAAAAAUGGGUUACUAUAUAGAUUAUGAAUGGAUUUUAAUUUUUAAUAUUAAAUGAAAAAGAAUUUGAAAGUAAUUUUGUUAAAGUAACAUUAUGAAUAAAGAUUCUAGAAUAUGUACACAUUGCCCGUCGCUCUUAUUUAAGGUAAGAUAAGUCGUAACAUAGUAGGUGUACCGGAAGGUGUACCUGGAUU